UGAGUUCGCCGGAGAGUAGGUUAUUGCCAGGGUUUUUAUUUUGUACUUUAAACCUUAAAUUUAUUUUUUAUAUUUUUUUAAUGUUCAUGUUUUUGAAUGUUUUAUUCAAAUAAUGUAAAAAAUAAAAUAGAUAUUGACAUGGAUUGAACAAAAGAUAUAUAUUAUUUUAUGUUGCAUAAACAAAUUGGCAAAAUAGAGAUGGAAGAUAAAAAUAUGGUCAAAGUAAUAAGAGUCUAUGGUGAAUGCCUAGGAGCUUUAAGGCGAAGAAGGUCGUGGUAAGCUGCGAAAAGCUUGGGGGAGAAGCAAACAUUUAUUGAUCCCAAGAUUACCGAAUGGAGUAAUCCAACUAUGUAAGAUGCUAGUUAUCUAUUAUCUAAAUAAUAGAGGCGAUACCAGGGGAAGUGAACCAUCUA
RNAcentral lists this unclassified non-coding RNA (413 nucleotides) under Borreliella valaisiana. Its description in RNAcentral is "partial contains 5S-23S ribosomal RNA intergenic spacer and 23S ribosomal RNA". The stretch from base 216 to 413 matches the Rfam family "Bacterial large subunit ribosomal RNA", at positions 1 to 204 of the family's 2925-position model. The record is from RNAcentral. Lineage: Bacteria; Pseudomonadati; Spirochaetota; Spirochaetia; Spirochaetales; Borreliaceae.